AACCAUAGAAACCUGCGGAGUACCUGCGGAGGGAUCAUUACCGAGUUUACAACUCCCAAACCCCUGUGAACAUACCUAUACGUUGCCUCGGCGGAUCAGCCCGCGCCCCGUAAAACGGGACGGCCCGCCCGAGGACCCUAAACUCUGUUUUUAGUGGAACUUCUGAGUAAAACAAACAAAUAAAUCAAAACUUUCAACAAUGGAUCU
This 207-nucleotide unclassified non-coding RNA is filed under the name soil metagenome. RNAcentral describes it as "partial contains 5.8S ribosomal RNA, internal transcribed spacer 2, and large subunit ribosomal RNA". The record is from RNAcentral.